This 433-nucleotide ribosomal RNA is filed under the name uncultured bacterium. Its description in RNAcentral is "partial 16S ribosomal RNA". It matches the Rfam family "Bacterial small subunit ribosomal RNA", at positions 29 to 507 of the family's 1533-position model. The record is from RNAcentral.
AGCGAACGCUGGCGGCAGGCCUAACACAUGCAAGUCGAACGAACCUUUCGGGGUUAGUGGCGGACGGGUGAGUAACACGUGGGAACGUGCCUUUAGGUUCGGAAUAACUCAGGGAAACUUGUGCUAAUACCGAAUGUGCCCUUCGGGGGAAAGAUUUAUCGCCUUUAGAGCGGCCCGCGUCUGAUUAGCUAGUUGGUUAGGUAAUGGCUCACCAAGGCGACGAUCAGUAGCUGGUCUGAGAGGAUGAUCAGCCACAUUGGGACUGAGACACGGCCCAAACUCCUACGGGAGGCAGCAGUGGGGAAUCUUGCGCAAUGGGCGAAAGCCUGACGCAGCCAUGCCGCGUGAAUGAUGAAGGUCUUAGGAUUGUAAAAUUCUUUCACCGGGGACGAUAAUGACGGUACCCGGAGAAGAAGCCCCGGCUAACUUCGUG